UCUCUCUCUCUCUCUCUGUCUGUCUCUGUCUCUCUCUCUCUCUCUCUCAUAAUUCCUGGCUGCACCUGCUCCUAUCUGCUGCAGGAGGAAGCAUCUCUGGUGACUGGACAAGAGAAUCUACACAAGAUCAAGUCAGUCAACAUUCCAGCAUGAAAUGGUUCAUGAGUCAUCCCUAACUGAGAAACUCAAGAACAGUUGAUGGCUUCUGGGGGAGGCUGCUGUCUGUUAGCAUUGCAUUGGAAAGUCUCUACUUCAGGCUGGCCCUCAUCUACCGAAGUCCUCGGAGCCUCAUGUAGUGCCUGAUAAAUGAGGUGUUCGCUAAAUAUUGAAAUUCACUAACUAUGCUCCUCACGGCCCUGGCCACAAUACCUUUCCUAGGACCUUUUCGUUGGGAGCCACACUGCAAGAGCAAAACCCUCGGGAAGGUUCAGAGUUUAAACCAAAGCUAGAUUACAGGACUGAGAGAAAUAAUUGCAUGAUUUGGGAUUUCUGAAGCAGGCCUCCCCUCCUCUGGCAUCAGUGUUAUUGGGAGGACUGAGGCAUGGGGUGACAUCUUAAUACACGUUCCCAUCAACAAGGACGACCUUUCAGGCCAAUUCUUCCCUUUUCUCUGAUAGGAAAAUAAAGUUCAUAUCCCAAGAGA
Molecule: long non-coding RNA, 643 nt
Organism: Mastomys coucha (southern multimammate mouse)
Lineage: Eukaryota; Metazoa; Chordata; Mammalia; Rodentia; Muridae
Exons: 4
Source: RefSeq, a predicted model, not a curated record